GCAGGCGCAGCGGAGCCUGGAGAGAAGGCGCUGGGCUGCGAGGGCGCGAGGGCAGGGGGCAGCCGGACCCCGCCCGCACCCAUGGCGCCCUUCGCCAUCUGGGCCGCGCUGGCCGUCGGACUGGAGCUCUGGGCCGCGGGGCACGCCUUGCCCGCCCAGGCCAACAUGCAAAAGUCUUCUGUACCAAGACCUCGGACACCGUGUGUGACUCCUGUGAGGACAGCACAUACACCGAGCUCUGGAACUGGGUUCCCGAGUGCUUGAGCUGUGGCUCCCGCUGUAGCUCUGACCAGGUAGAAACUCAAGCCUGCACUCGGGAACAGAACCGCAUCUGCACCUGCAGGCCCGGCUGGUACUGCGCGCUGAGCAAGCAGGAGGGGUGCCGGCUGUGCGCGCCGCUGCGCAAGUGUCGCCCCGGCUUCGGCGUGGCCAGACCAGGAAAUGAAACAUCAGACGUGGUGUGCAAGCCCUGCGCCCCGGGGACGUUCUCCAACACGACUUCAUCCACGGAUAUUUGCAGGCCCCACCAGAUCUGUAACGUGGUGGCCAUCCCUGGGAAUGCAAGCAUGGAUGCAGUCUGCACGUCCACGUCCCCCACCCGGAGUAUGGCCCCAGGGGCAGUACACUUACCCCAGCCAGUGUCCACACGAUCCCAACACAUGCAGCCAACUCCAGGACCCAGCACUGCUCCAAGCACCUCCUUCCUGCUCCCGAUGGGCCCCAGCCCCCCAGCUGAAGGGAGCACUGGCGACUUUGCUCUUCCAGUUGGACUGAUUGUGGGUGUGACAGCCUUGGGUCUACUAAUAAUAGGAGUGGUGAACUGUGUCAUCAUGACCCAGGUGAAAAAGAAGCCCUCGUGCCUGCAGAGAGAAGCCAAGGUGCCUCACUUGCCUGCUGAUAAGGCCCGGGGUACACAGGGCCCCGAGCAGCAGCACCUGCUGAUCACAGCGCCGAGCUCCAGCAGCAGCUCCCUGGAGAGCUCGGCCAGCGCGUUGGACAGAAGGGCACCCACUCGGAACCAGCCACAGGCACCAGGCGUGGAGAAGGCCAGUGGGGCCGGGGAGGCCCGGGCCAGCACCGGGAGCUCAGAUUCUUCCCCUGGUGGCCAUGGGACCCAGGUCAAUGUCACCUGCAUCGUGAACGUCUGUAGCAGCUCUGACCACAGCUCACAGUGCUCCUCCCAAGCCAGCUCCACGAUGGGGGACACGGAUUCCAGCCCCUCGGAGUCCCCGAAGGACGAGCAGGUCCCCUUCUCCAAGGAGGAAUGUACCUUUCGGUCACAGCUGGAGACGCCAGAGUCCCUGCUGGGGAGCACCGAAGAGAAGCCCCUGCCCCUUGGAGUGCCCGAUGCUGGGAUGAAGCCCAGUUAACCAGGCUGGUUUGAGCUGUGUCGUAGCCAAGGUGGGCUGAGCCCUGGCAGGAUGACCCUGUGAAGGGGCCCUGGUCCUUUCAGGCCCCCACCACUAGGACUCUGAGGCUCUUUCUGGGCCAAGUUCCUUUACUGCCCUCCACAGCCGCAGCCUCCCUCUGACCUGCAGGCCGAGAGCCGAGGCAGCGAGUUGUGGAAAGCCUCUGCUGCCACUGUGUGUCCCUCUCAGAAGGCUGGCUGGGCAUGGACGUUCGGGCCAUGCUGGGGCAAGUCCCUGACUCUCUGUGACCUGCCCCGCCCAGCUGGACCUGUGAGCCUGGUUUUUUGUUUGUUUGUUUGUUUCUCCCCCUGGGCUCUGACCCAGCUCUGGCUUCCAGAAAACCCCAGCAUCCUUUUCUGCAGAGGGGCUUUCUGGAGAGGAGGGAUGCUGCCUGAGUCACCCAUGAAGAGAGGACAGUGCUUCAGCCUGAGGCUGAGACUGCGGGACGGUCCCGGGGCUCUGUGCAGGGAGGAGGUGGCAGCCCUGUAGGGAACGGGGUCCUUCAGGUUAGCUCAGGAGGCUUGGAAAGCAUCACCUCAGGCCGGGUGCAGUGGCUCACGCCUAUGAUCCCAGCACUUUGGGAGGCUGAGGCGGGUGGAUCACCUGAGGUUAGGAAUUCGAGACCAGCCUGACCAACAUGGUAAAACCCCAUCUCUACUAAAAAUACAGAAAUUAGCCAGGCGUGGCGGCGGGCACCUAUUGUCCCAGCUACUCAGAAGCCUGAGGCUGGAAAAUUGUUUGAACCCGGGAGGCGGAGGUUGCAGGGAGCCGAGAUCACGCCACUGCACUCCAGCCUGGGCGACAGAGCGAGUCUGUCUCAAAAGAAAAAAAAAAAGCACGGUCUCCAAAUGCUAACUUGUCCUUUUGUACCAUGGUGUGAAAGUCAGAUGCCCAGAGGGCCCAGGCAGGCCACCAUAUUCAGUGCUGUGGCCUGGGCAAGAUAACGCACUUCUAACUGGAAAUCUGCCAAUUUUUUAAAAGAGUAAGUACCACUCAGGCCAACAAGCCAACGACAAAGCCAAACUCUGCCAGCCACAUCCAACCCCCCACCUGCCAUUUGCACCCUCCACCUUCACUCCGGUGUGCCUGCAGCCCCGCCCCUCCUUCCUUGCUGUCUGGUGUGAUGUCCUAGGCCACACCGUCUCCUUUCAGGGAAUUUCAGGAACUAGAGAUGACUGAGUCCUCGUAGCCAUCUCUCUCCUCCUACCUCAGCCUAGACCCUCCUCCCCCCUCCAGAGGGGUGGGUUCCUCUUCCCCACUCCCCGCCUUCAAUUCCCGGGCCCGAAACGGGUUGCCCCGCCACUUUGGUACAUGGCCAGUGUGAUCCCAAGUGCCAGUCUUGUGUCUGCGUCUGUGUUGCGUGUCGUGGGUGUGUGUAGCCAAGGUCGGUAAGUUGAAUGGCCUGCCUUGAAGCCGCUGAAGCUGGGAUUCCUCCCCGUUAGAGUCAGCCUUCCCCCUCCCCUCCCCCAAACAUGCCCAGGGCCCUGCAGAGGGGAAACCAGUGUAGCCUUGCCCGGAUUCUGGGAGGAAGCAGGUUGAGGGGCUCCUGGAAAGGCUCAGUCUCAGGAGCAUGGGGAUAAAGGAGAAGGCAUGAAAUUAUCUAGCAGAGCAGGGGCAGGUGAUAAAUUGUUGAUAAAUUCCACUGGACUUGAGCUUGGCAGCUGAACUAUUGGACGGUGGGGGAGCCCAGCCAUUACCAUGGAGACAAGAAGGGUUUUCCACCCUGGAAUCAAGAUGUCAGACUGGCUGGCUGCAGUGACAUGCACCUGUACUCAGGAGGCUGAGGGGAGGAUCACUGGAGCCCAGGAGUUUGAGGCUGCAGCGAGCUAUGAUCGCGCCACUACACUCCAGCCUGAGCAACAGAGUGAGACCCUGUCUCUUAAAGAAAAAAAAGUCAGACUGCUGGGGCUGGCCAGGUUUCUGCCCACAUUGGACCCACACGAGGACGUGAUGGAGCGCACCUGCCCCCUGGUGGACAGUCCUGGGAGAACCUCAGGCUUCCUUGGCAUCACAGGGCAGAGCCGGGAAGCGAAGAAUUUGGAGACUCUGUGGAGCCUUGGUUCCCUUGCGUGUGUUGAUCCCGAGACAAUGAAAGUUUGCACUGUAUGCUGGACAGCAUUCCUGCUUAUCAAUAAACCUGUUUGUUUUACACGUCGA
Molecule: small RNA, 3566 nt
Filed under: Pongo abelii (Sumatran orangutan)
Lineage: Eukaryota; Metazoa; Chordata; Mammalia; Primates; Hominidae
Description: processed transcript
Source: RNAcentral